UACGUAGGGCGCAAGCGUUGUCCGGAAUUAUUGGGCGUAAAGAGCUCGUAGGCGGCUUGUUGCGUCGACUGUGAAAACCCGCGGCUUAACUGCGGGCUUGCAGUUGAUACGGGCAGGCUAGAGUUCGGUAGGGGAGACUGGAAUUCCUGGUGUAGCGGUGAAAUGCGCAGAUAUCAGGAGGAACACCGGUGGCGAAGGCGGGUCUCUGGGCCGAUACUGACGCUGAGGCGCGAAAGCUAGGGGAGCAAACGGG
This 253-nucleotide ribosomal RNA is filed under the name uncultured bacterium. RNAcentral describes it as "partial 16S ribosomal RNA". It matches the Rfam family "Bacterial small subunit ribosomal RNA", at positions 524 to 776 of the family's 1533-position model. The record is from RNAcentral.